AACGAACGCUGGCGGCGUGUUUAAGACAUGCAAGUCGAACGAGGAAUGCUUUAGCUUGCUUUUGCAUUCCUAGUGGCGGACGGGUGAGUAACACGUGAGCAACCUACCCCAAUGUGGGGGAUAGCCCACCGAAAGGUGGAUUAAUACCGCAUAUGAUCUACGGAUUAAAGAUGCCUUCGGGUGUCGCUUUGGGAUGGGCUCGCGGCCUAUCAGCUUGUUGGUGAGGUAAUGGCUCACCAAGGCUACGACGGGUAGCUGGUCUAAGAGGAUGAUCAGUCACACUGGAACUGAGACACGGUCCAGACACCUACGGGUGGCAGCAGUCGAGAAUCAUUCACAAUGGACGAAAGUCUGAUGGUGCAACGCCGCGUGGAGGAUGAAGGCCCUCGGGUCGUAAACUCCUGUCAUCAAGGAGUAAGCCUUGGUCGUUAAUAGCUUCCAAGGUUGAUAGUACUUGAAGAGGAAGGGACGGCUAACUUCG
This 481-nucleotide ribosomal RNA is filed under the name uncultured Verrucomicrobiaceae bacterium. RNAcentral describes it as "bacterial SSU rRNA". It matches the Rfam family "Bacterial small subunit ribosomal RNA", at positions 29 to 505 of the family's 1533-position model. Lineage: Bacteria; Pseudomonadati; Verrucomicrobiota; Verrucomicrobiia; Verrucomicrobiales; Verrucomicrobiaceae. The record is from RNAcentral.